GAAAGAGUGGUUGAAGUACACAAUGGGGGGUUGUCAACCUUCAGGUGCCUGUAAGGGCCUUUUUCU
RNAcentral lists this transfer RNA (66 nucleotides) under Semele scabra. Its description in RNAcentral is "tRNA-Asp". The record is from RNAcentral. Lineage: Eukaryota; Metazoa; Mollusca; Bivalvia; Cardiida; Semelidae.